UUAAAUUGAAGAGUUUGAUCAUGGCUCAGAUUGAACGCUGGCGGCAGGCCUAACACAUGCAAGUCGAACGGUAACAGGAAGAAGCUUGCUUUUUCGCUGACGAGUGGCGGACGGGUGAGUAAUGUCUGGGACACUGCCUGAUGGAGGGGGAUAGCUACUGGAAACGGUAGCUAAUACCGCAUAACUUC
Molecule: ribosomal RNA, 188 nt
Filed under: Acinetobacter baumannii
Lineage: Bacteria; Pseudomonadati; Pseudomonadota; Gammaproteobacteria; Moraxellales; Moraxellaceae
Description: partial 16S ribosomal RNA
Rfam family: Bacterial small subunit ribosomal RNA
Source: RNAcentral